Long non-coding RNA from Cyprinus carpio (common carp), 718 nucleotides. Lineage: Eukaryota; Metazoa; Chordata; Actinopteri; Cypriniformes; Cyprinidae. The record is from Ensembl.
GGGACGAGGAGUGGCCUUAAGAUGAGGUUCUUCUGUCUCUUAAGGGACUUGUAGUGUAAAGCCUUCAGGCUCCAGAGAUGAACACUUAACGGCACAAUGACAGUCUGGUCUGGGUUAAAACAAAAAGGGAGGCAUUAUUUUGGAUUCUUCGUGGCGAGGCACAUUCCGAGGAUGGGAAGGUCACAGACAGUACGUGGUCAGAGGAGUUUUGUUGGAGACCGAAUUCCCCAGAGAAGAUGCAUGGAUGUGCACCUAAAUGCCACUGGAGAGAUGAUCAACUACAGACACCCUCUGCAUCCCCGCCUCAUUAUACCUCCAUACUACGAGCCUCUUUAAUACCCAGCCUUCCUAAAGAGCAGGUAAUGGCAGAGUGGGCUAAAGGGAUGCGGAAUUAAGCCGUUUUACACCAAAGGGUAAUUUGGUUUGAUAAAUGUUCCAUCAUGGCUAACUAAUAAUAGAUAUUUUAGGGAGGGGGGAUGAAGGUGUCGGGGGGUGUUCCAUCGCACUAGGAAAAAGGUGGCGACGUUAUUAAUGGCACCGACCACGCUAUGUCUCACGCAGGGUUACGGCACAAGGUCAAAGCAUGUUUCACUGAAUUAAAAGCCAUUUUGAGCUAUGGCACUCCUAAUCAGCUCAGACCUAGAUGUGCAUAGCUCAGGUAUAAUGAGGCACCAAUGAAUUUAAAUAAACAGGGUGAAUAUGGUGAUUUAUAAAGGCA